Molecule: ribosomal RNA, 274 nt
Filed under: uncultured bacterium
Lineage: Bacteria
Description: partial 16S ribosomal RNA
Rfam family: Bacterial small subunit ribosomal RNA
Source: RNAcentral
CUACGGAGGGUGCAAGCGUUACUCGGAAUCACUGGGCGUAAAGCGCGCGCAGGCGGUCUUUUAAGUUGGAUGUGAAAGCCUACGGCUCAACCGUAGAACUGCAUCCAAAACUAUUAGACUAGAGUGUGGGAGAGGAAGAUGGAAUUAGUUGUGUAGGGGUAAAAUCCGUAGAGAUAACUAGGAAUACCAAAAGCGAAGGCAAUCUUCUGGAACACUACUGACGCUGAGGCGCGAAAGCGUGGGGAGCAAACAGGAUUAGAAACCCUAGUAGUCC